RNAcentral lists this unclassified non-coding RNA (31 nucleotides) under Drosophila melanogaster (fruit fly). Its description in RNAcentral is "partial miscellaneous RNA". The record is from RNAcentral. Lineage: Eukaryota; Metazoa; Arthropoda; Insecta; Diptera; Drosophilidae.
UGGCGUAGCCUCGUUUGGCGAUGGCGCGCAG